CCUGGGGAGAGCUGGCCUCAGACUGGCUGUCGCAGCUGGAUGUGGAGAGGUCAUUGCAAGACGUGCCACUCUCCCCUUCUUUGUCACCUUUGCCAUUCUUGCAGCAGCAAUCGCAGUGUGAGGGUGACCAUCUGGAAGGCUCACCUGAAAAGAAAGCACAGGACCCAAAGGAUUAUUGCCAGCCAGGUCAGUUGGAGUAGCAGUAUAGCACUUGGACAUACACACAAACACACAUAAGAGAAGCACCAUGGAACCAUGCUUUUAGAAAAAGUGGGGUGGUACCCAGGGUGGGCUGCAACAGGAGCCAAAAGCCAAGUCCAUGAGGGGAGGAAAUUAAUGAUGGCAUGCUAUAUAAGAGGAAAUAUAGUAUAAUGCUUGAGCCCAUGAGCACGGGAGUCAGAAAUACCCAGCUAACAUCAUUUAUUAAGCUUGUCACCUCGGCACAUUCCUUAGAUUUUCAGAGUCACUUUCCUCAUCUGUGGUUUAAGGGUAAUAAUUUUCCUACUAUCUGGAGUUACAGGAAGGAGUUAGAUAAGUCAAAAUUCUUAAUGCAGUAUCUCUCUCACAGUAAACUCUCAAUAAAAGCUAGCCGAUUUCCCAUAGCUGAUGAAAAGCUCCAAGUGACAGCAGUCAGGUACAACAGGAGGACGCUAUCAAAACAGAAUGACAGUAACCGGAGAAGGGGGACUGACUCUGUGCCUGUCCCUAUCUGGGUAUCCCUCAGCUCCUUGGUCCUUAACGAAAACUCUGUUAACUCAGUAGUUUCAAUUUCAGUCUCCAUACAAGGAAACUAAGACCCCAAGAGUUUAAGAAACUUGCCAGAGUUUGUACAAUUUGAAAGUGGCAGAGCUGAGAUUUGAAUACAGACCUUCCAAGGGCCAUAACCAUACCAAUUAACCAUUUUAUUCAGUGUCCUUGUUAGUAAAAUCUUUGCUUCUACUUCAAAACAAUUUGCAGGUUAUAACUUCUCUGAAUUUCUUGUUAACCUCUCCUCAGACGUAUUUGCUUUUUUCUCCUCUCUGAAUUAUAGUUCUACUUUGUAAGUUCCUCUAUUAUAGCACAUAUUACAUUUUGUUAUAUAUCAUAUUAGCUACUAGGCCAUGAGCUCCUUAAUAUGAGCAUAGUGAAGUAUCCAUUGUUGUAAUAGAGCAAAUACGCCAAGGAACAAUGUAGAAAUUCAAUAAAAGGCCAUAUUAUAACUUUUAAGUAUCUGGAUCUAGCCACACCUGAAGCUAGUCUUGCCAGUGAGCUUUUCAUUUAUAUGAUAAACUAUAUUCUGUGUCAUUUUUUCAGCCAAUGUGAGUCCCUCUUCUCCCAUUCCUCUGCGUCUUGACUCAUAAUACUGCAUUUAGCAAUUUGAAGGCAGAGCAAUGUUGCAGAUGCACAGUGGCUCCAUGAACCAGAAAAAAAAAAAAAAAAAA
RNAcentral lists this long non-coding RNA (1421 nucleotides) under Macaca fascicularis (crab-eating macaque). RNAcentral describes it as "lncRNA (ENSMFAG00000055913.1)". The record is from RNAcentral. Lineage: Eukaryota; Metazoa; Chordata; Mammalia; Primates; Cercopithecidae.